UACGGGGGGAGCAAGCGUUGUUCGGAUUUACUGGGCGUAAAGGGCGCGUAGGCGGCGCAACAAGUCACUUGUGAAAACUCCGGGCUUAACCCGGAGCGGCCAAGUGAUACUGUCGUGCUAGAGUGCGGAAGGGGCUACUGGAAUUCUCGGUGUAGCGGUGAAAUGCGUAGAUAUCGAGAGGAACACCUGCGGCGAAGGCGGGUAGCUGGGCCGACACUGACGCUGAGGCGCGAAAGCCAGGGGAGCGAACGGG
RNAcentral lists this ribosomal RNA (253 nucleotides) under uncultured bacterium. RNAcentral describes it as "partial 16S ribosomal RNA". It matches the Rfam family "Bacterial small subunit ribosomal RNA", at positions 524 to 776 of the family's 1533-position model. The record is from RNAcentral.